This 1530-nucleotide ribosomal RNA is filed under the name Triticum aestivum (bread wheat). Its description in RNAcentral is "partial small subunit ribosomal RNA". Lineage: Eukaryota; Viridiplantae; Streptophyta; Magnoliopsida; Poales; Poaceae. The record is from RNAcentral.
AUGCCUUCCUCCCGCCCCUCCUCCCCCUCGGCCCCCAUCGUCCUCCUCAGCGACAGCGGCGGCGUCUACGACGAGGACGCCGCCGCCGCCUCCGCCGCGCUCUCGGGGCCCGCCGCCGAGCGCAUCGCGUCGUCCCUAGUCACGCAGGCCGACGUCGACGCCGUCUGCAGGAAGCACGGCGUCCCGAGGGAGUUCGCCGCGCGCCCCGCCGGCGACCUGCGCGCGUGCAGCGCGCCUCCGCCGGGGGCCGUCUGCGUGUACGCCCACGCGCUGGAGGCUGGGGUGCGCUUCCCGCUGCACGCCUUCUUCCGCGACGCGCUCGCCCACUUCGGCCUCGCGCCGGGGCAGCUCGCGCCCAACGGGUGGCGCGUCCUGGUCGGUUUCUUCGCGCUCUGCCACGAGGCCGGCGUGCGGCCGUCGGUGCCGCUGUUCCGGCACUUCUUCAAGCUGCUCACCGUCACCAGGAAGGGCGGCUGGUACUGGUUCGGCUCCAGGGCAGAGGCCGGAGUGCUCUUCGCUGGCCUGAAAUACAACAAGUCUGACAGAGAGUGGAAAGGGGGCUUCUUCUUCCUGACGUCGCCGGAGCCGUGGCAGUGCCCCGUGCUUUGGGGCGAGCCCCCGUCCAAGCGCUUCCCCGCAGAUCCGGUGCUAACGAGCCAGCUGAAGCAGUCGGCGAAAAAGCUGCUGGAAGUACACGGCGUCGCGGUCAAUCUCCGGGCUUACCUCCGUAAGGCAAAUCUUGCUGCGGCCUUCUCCUCCAACCCCGCCGGCGCAUCACCUCCGCCUUCUCCUCCUUCUACUGUUCCCAAAGGGAUGGAUCCACCUGCCCGCGAAAUGACUGACAGUAUGCCAGUGGUGAGGACGGCGGCGCCGGCGGCAGGGACGGAGCAGGUGAAAGGCGAGGCGCACGGCGACACGCUUCCUAUGACCGGAAAGAAGAGGAGACGGGAGGAGGUAACUGCAACAGACGGGCUUGGCUGCGCCGCCCCGGUGUCUGACCCGCAUGCCCCACCGUCGCCGCCGAGCUUUGACCCGCGGUCACCGCACUCGCCCGUACCCGAGACACACGACGGAGAUAGCGCUGACUGGAUGGCCGCGCGGAAGGUCCUAGAUGGCAUCAUCACGCCGUCGCGGGAGCUCCAAUUCGCGACGUCGAAGCCCUCCGACGUCGUGGCGUCGAGCUACAUAGCAAUGCUCCAGGCCGCGAACUACGCGACCUUCUCCAUGACCUGCGCGCUGGAGCUGGACGAGAAGCUGGUGGCGCUGGAGCGCGACAACCUGGCGCUGUGGGAGCAGCUGGAGAAGGAGAAGGCGGCGAGGCAGGCAGUGGAGGCGGAGCUGGAGAGGGCAAAGCGAGAGCGCGCCAAGGCGACGGCGGUGCAGCAGUUCUUGGGGUCGGAGGAGUACACGCGGCGGGUGGCGGAGCAAGCGCUGCCGGCGUACUUGCGCGGCGCCGAGGAAAUGAAGCGCGUCGUGCUCCGGCACUACCCGCACCUCGACGCCGGCAAGCUGGAGCUGCCGCUUGAUUAG